This 890-nucleotide ribosomal RNA is filed under the name uncultured bacterium. Its description in RNAcentral is "bacterial SSU rRNA". It matches the Rfam family "Bacterial small subunit ribosomal RNA", at positions 612 to 1510 of the family's 1533-position model. The record is from RNAcentral.
ACUGGGAGAGUAUUCAGAAGACGGCGUGACUUGAGGGUGAGAGAGGGACACGGAAUUCCGGGUGUAGUGGUGAAAUGCGUAGAUAUCCGGAGGAACACCGAAGGCGAAGGCAGUGUCCUGGCUCAUACCUGACGCUGAGGGGCGAGAGCUAGGGGAGCGAACGGGAUUAGAUACCCCGGUAGUCCUAGCCGUAAACGAUGACCACUAGGUGUGCGAGGUAUCGACCUCUUGCGUGCCGUCGCAAACGCAAUAAGUGGUCCGCCUGGGGAGUACGGUCGCAAGAUUAAAACUCAAAGGAAUUGACGGGGACCCGCACAAGCAGCGGAGCGUGUGGUUUAAUUCGAUGCAACGCGAAGAACCUUACCAGGGUUUGACAUGCUUUUGCACCGCCGAGAGAUCGGCGUCCUCGCAAGAGGCGGAAGCACAGGUGCUGCAUGGCUGUCGUCAGCUCGUGCCGUGAGGUGUUGGGUUAAGUCCCGCAACGAGCGCAACCCCCGUGGUCGGUUGUAAGUUUCCGACCAGACUGCCACGAUCAACGUGGAGGAAGGUGGGGAUGACGUCAAGUCAGCACGGCCCUUACGUCCUGGGCGACACACACGCUACAAUGGCCGAGACAACGGGACGCCAACCCGCGAGGGGGAGCCAAUCCCAGCAAACUCGGUCUCAGUUCAGAUUGCAGGCUGCAACCCGCCUGCAUGAAGAUGGAGUUGCUAGUAACCGUGGGUCAGCACACCACGGUGAAUACGUUCCCGGGUCUUGUACACACCGCCCGUCACACCACGAAAGUCGGCAACACCUGAAGCCGCUGGGCUAACCUCUCAGGAGGAGGCACGCGUCGAGGGUGGGGUCGGUGAUUGGGGUGAAGUCGUAACAAGGUACCAAUCCCGCGG